Pangasianodon gigas (Mekong giant catfish) is the source of this 72-nucleotide non-coding RNA. NCBI's taxonomy places the organism in Eukaryota, Metazoa, Chordata, Actinopteri, Siluriformes, Pangasiidae. The record is from the annotation of a GenBank genome assembly.
GAAAAGUGCACCAACAGACUGUUUUCUUAAUAAUAGUCAUCCUGCUGUCACAUUUGUGCUUCAGGCGUUGAA